This 421-nucleotide ribosomal RNA is filed under the name uncultured bacterium. RNAcentral's name for it is "bacterial SSU rRNA". It matches the Rfam family "Bacterial small subunit ribosomal RNA", at positions 355 to 776 of the family's 1533-position model. The record is from RNAcentral.
UGGGGAAUAUUGCACAAUGGGGGAAACCCUGAUGCAGCGACGCCGCGUGAGUGAAGAAGUAUUUCGGUACGUAAAGCUCUAUCAGCAGGGAAGAAAAAAAGUCCUUUGGACUUUGGACGGUACCUGACCAAGAAGCCCCGGCUAACUACGUGCCAGCAGCCGCGGUAAUACGUAGGGGGCAAGCGUUAUCCGGAUUUACUGGGUGUAAAGGGAGCGUAGACGGCAGCGCAAGUCUGGAGUGAAAUGCCGGGGCCCAGCCCCGGAACUGCUUUGGAAACUGUGCAGCUCGAGUGCAGGAGAGGUAAGCGGAAUUCCUAGUGUAGCGGUGAAAUGCGUAGAUAUUAGGAGGAAUACCAGUGGCGAAGGCGGCUUACUGGACUGUAACUGACGUUGAGGCUCGAAAGCGUGGGGAGCAAACAGG